Molecule: ribosomal RNA, 253 nt
Filed under: uncultured bacterium
Lineage: Bacteria
Description: partial 16S ribosomal RNA
Rfam family: Bacterial small subunit ribosomal RNA
Source: RNAcentral
UACGUAGGGGGCGAGCGUUGUCCGGAGUUACUGGGCGUAAAGCGCACGCAGGCGGUCUGUUAAGUUUGGAGUGACAGUUGGUGGCUCAACCACCAAAGUGCUUUGAAAACUGAUAGACUUGAGGGCUUCAGAGGGACACGGAAUUCCGGGUGGAGUGGUGAAAUGCGUAGAGAUCCGGAGGAACACCAAAGGCGAAGGCGGAUCUCUGGGCCGAUACUGACGCUGAGGAGCGAAAGCGUGGGGAGCGAACAGG